Molecule: transfer RNA, 75 nt
Filed under: Neobacillus cucumis
Lineage: Bacteria; Bacillati; Bacillota; Bacilli; Caryophanales; Bacillaceae
Description: tRNA-Asn
Rfam family: tRNA
About the family: Transfer RNA (tRNA) molecules are approximately 80 nucleotides in length. Their secondary structure includes four short double-helical elements and three loops (D, anti-codon, and T loops). Further hydrogen bonds mediate the characteristic L-shaped molecular structure. tRNAs have two regions of fundamental functional importance: the anti-codon, which is responsible for specific mRNA codon recognition, and the 3' end, to which the tRNAs corresponding amino acid is attached (by aminoacyl-tRNA synthetases). tRNAs cope with the degeneracy of the genetic code in two manners: having more than one tRNA (with a specific anti-codon) for a particular amino acid; and 'wobble' base-pairing, i.e. permitting non-standard base-pairing at the 3rd anti-codon position.
Source: RNAcentral
UCCGCAGUAGCUCAGUGGUAGAGCAAUCGGCUGUUAACCGAUAGGUCGUAGGUUCGAGUCCUACCUGCGGAGCCA